This 349-nucleotide long non-coding RNA is filed under the name Lotus japonicus. Its description in RNAcentral is "long non-coding RNA (LJAP_LNC001710)". Lineage: Eukaryota; Viridiplantae; Streptophyta; Magnoliopsida; Fabales; Fabaceae. The record is from RNAcentral.
ACAGUUUUUCCAAAAGCUUAUCAGUCAUAUCGACCCGAACAGGGUCCUUGGGGUCCAUCUGUUUCAAUAUGUUUACCAACUUCUGAACCAUUCCGCAUAAGCUUGAAUAUCUAUUCAUAUUUCAAUCAAGAAAAGGUAUCAGCCAAAACCAACAAACUAAAUAAAGGAAAUUAGCGAAUAUAAAUAUGAUGAAUUAUGAUGAUACUUAAUUUUUGUAAUCAUCCCGUCCAGUAACGUGGUAGCGCUGCAUAACGAGGUUCUCUCUGUGACCUCCUUCUCUCUUCCAUUCCAAAAAAUUGACCUUCUUUAAAAGCUUCUGCUCAUGGAACUUUAGCUUCCUCAUUGUUUU